UCCUUGGUGGUCUGAUGGUUAAGACUCUGCACCCCCAAUGCAGGGGGCCAGGUUCAAUCCCUCAUCAGGGAG
This 72-nucleotide transfer RNA is filed under the name Ovis aries (sheep). It matches the Rfam family "tRNA". From Rfam's summary of the family: Transfer RNA (tRNA) molecules are approximately 80 nucleotides in length. Their secondary structure includes four short double-helical elements and three loops (D, anti-codon, and T loops). Further hydrogen bonds mediate the characteristic L-shaped molecular structure. tRNAs have two regions of fundamental functional importance: the anti-codon, which is responsible for specific mRNA codon recognition, and the 3' end, to which the tRNAs corresponding amino acid is attached (by aminoacyl-tRNA synthetases). tRNAs cope with the degeneracy of the genetic code in two manners: having more than one tRNA (with a specific anti-codon) for a particular amino acid; and 'wobble' base-pairing, i.e. permitting non-standard base-pairing at the 3rd anti-codon position. The record is from Rfam by way of RNAcentral. Lineage: Eukaryota; Metazoa; Chordata; Mammalia; Artiodactyla; Bovidae.